GAUUGAACGCUGGCGGCAUGCCUUACACAUGCAAGUCGAACGGUAACAGGUCUUCGGAUGCUGACGAGUGGCGAACGGGUGAGUAAUACAUCGGAACGUGCCCAGACGUGGGGGAUAACGAGGCGAAAGCUUUGCUAAUACCGCAUACGAUCUAAGGAUGAAAGCAGGGGACCGCAAGGCCUUGCGCGUUUGGUGCGGCCGAUGGCAGAUUAGGUAGUUGGUGGGAUAAAAGCUUACCAAGCCGACGAUCUGUAGCUGGUCUGAGAGGACGACCAGCCACACUGGGACUGAGACACGGCCCAGACUCCUACGGGAGGCAGCAGUGGGGAAUUUUGGACAAUGGGCGAAAGCCUGAUCCAGCAAUGCCGCGUGCAGGAUGAAGGCCUUCGGGUUGUAAACUGCUUUUGUACGGAACGAAAAGGCUCUGGCUAAUACCUGGGGCACAUGACGGUACCGUAAGAAUAAGCACCGGCUAACUACGUG
This 483-nucleotide ribosomal RNA is filed under the name uncultured bacterium. RNAcentral's name for it is "partial 16S ribosomal RNA". It matches the Rfam family "Bacterial small subunit ribosomal RNA", at positions 27 to 507 of the family's 1533-position model. The record is from RNAcentral.